This 253-nucleotide ribosomal RNA is filed under the name uncultured bacterium. RNAcentral's name for it is "partial 16S ribosomal RNA". It matches the Rfam family "Bacterial small subunit ribosomal RNA", at positions 524 to 776 of the family's 1533-position model. The record is from RNAcentral.
UACGAAGGGUGCAAACGUUGCUCGGAAUUAUUGGGCGUAAAGCGCACGUAGGCGGCUUUGCAAGUCGGAUGUGAAAUCCCUCGGCUUAACCAAGGAAGUGCAUCCGAAACUGCAGAGCUUGAGUACUUAAGAGGAUCGCGGAAUUCCCGGUAUAGAGGUGAAAUUCGUAGAUAUCGGGAGGAACACCAGUGGCGAAGGCGGCGAUCUGGGAAGAUACUGACGCUGAGGUGCGAAAGCGUGGAGAGCAAACAGG